RNAcentral lists this ribosomal RNA (433 nucleotides) under Microtrichalus sp. BM0180. RNAcentral's name for it is "SSU rRNA". It matches the Rfam family "Eukaryotic small subunit ribosomal RNA", at positions 910 to 1342 of the family's 1831-position model. The record is from RNAcentral. Lineage: Eukaryota; Metazoa; Arthropoda; Insecta; Coleoptera; Lycidae.
GGUGAAAUUCUUGGACCGUCGCAAGACGGACUUAAGCGAAAGCAUUUGCCAAAAACGCUUUCAUCGAUCAAGAACGAAAGUUAGAGGUUCGAAGGCGAUCAGAUACCGCCCUAGUUCUAACCAUAAACUAUGCCAGCUAGCGAUCCGCCGAAGUUACUUCUAUGACUCGGCGGGCAGCUUCCGGGAAACCAAAGCUUUCGGGUUCCGGGGGAAGUAUGGUUGCAAAGCUGAAACUUAAAGGAAUUGACGGAAGGGCACCACCAGGAGUGGAGCCUGCGGCUUAAUUUGACUCAACACGGGAAACCUCACCAGGCCCGGACACCGGAAGGAUUGACAGAUUGAGAGCUCUUUCUUGAUUCGGUGGGUGGUGGUGCAUGGCCGUUCUUAGUUGGUGGAGCGAUUUGUCUGGUUAAUUCCGAUAACGAACGAGACU